UCUCUGUUAGUAUAUCGGUUAGUACACGCGCUUGUCAGUCCCGAUCAUGAGCGUAAUGUUCGCGCGAAAGCGGGGUUCGACUCCCCGACAGAGAG
This 95-nucleotide transfer RNA is filed under the name Ganoderma leucocontextum. Its description in RNAcentral is "tRNA-Asp". The record is from RNAcentral. Lineage: Eukaryota; Fungi; Basidiomycota; Agaricomycetes; Polyporales; Polyporaceae.